RNAcentral lists this ribosomal RNA (2867 nucleotides) under hot springs metagenome. Its description in RNAcentral is "bacterial LSU rRNA". It matches the Rfam family "Bacterial large subunit ribosomal RNA". The record is from RNAcentral.
CUAAGGGCACACGGUGGAUGCCUUGGCGCAUCGAGGCGAUGAAGGACGUGGCAAGCUGCGAUAAGCGGCGGUGAGGAGCAAGCAUCCUGUGACCCGCCGAUCUCCGAAUGGGGGAACCCGCGUAGGUCAACCCUACGCAUCCCGGCCUGAAUCCAUAGGGCACGGGAGGCGAACCCGGGGAAGUGAACCAUCUCAGUACCCGGAGGAAAAGAAAACAACAUGUGAUUCCGUCAGUAGCGGCGAGCGAACGCGGAAGAGCCUAAACCAACCGGACUGCGGUUCGGUUGGGGUCGUGGGAUCGGACACAUGGGAGUUACCAAAGCUCAGGUUAGCGGAAGUCGCUGGAAAGCGGCACCAUAGAGCGUGAUAGUCGCGUACGCGAAAACCUCGAGCUCUCCCGUCCGACACCCGAGUAACACGGGACACGAGGAAUCCUGUGUGAAUCUGCCGGGACCACCCGGUAAGGCUAAAUACUCCGAUGCGACCGAUAGUGAACUAGUACCGUGAGGGAAAGGUGAAAAGCACCCCGGUGAGGGGAGUGAAAUAGACCUGAAACCGUGUGCUUACAAGCAGUGGGAGGCGCCUUCUGGCGCUGACCGCGUGCCUUUUGCAUAAUGAGCCGGCUAGUUCGUGUCACAGGCGAGGUUAAGCCGAUGAGGCGAAGCCGAAGCGAAAGCGAGUCUGAACAGGGCGUUGAGUCUGUGGCACGAGGACGCGAAGCGAGAUGAUCUAGGCAUGGCCAGGAUGAAGCCGAGGUAACACUCGGUGGAGGUCCGAACCAGUGUGGGUUGAAAACCGCUUGGAUGAGCUGUGCCUAGGGGUGAAAGGCUAAUCAAAUCUCGUGAUAGCUCGUUCUCGCCGAAAUGGUUUUAGGGCCAGCCUCGGAGAGAGCGUCGCGGUGGUAGAGCACUGAAUGGGCUAGGGGCCCCACAGGGUUACCGAACCCAAUCAAACUCCGAAUGCCGCGCUACGCGUUCUCCGGGAGUGAGACCGUGGGGGCUAAGCUCCAUGGUCGAGAGGGAAACAACCCAGACCGACAACUAAGGCCCCAAAGUCGUGGUUAAGUGGAAAAGGAGGUGGGGACGCCCUGACAGCCAGGAGGUUUGCUUAGAAGCAGCAAUCCUUUAAAGAAAGCGUAAUAGCUCACUGGUCAAGCGGCCCUGCACCGACAAUUCAACGGGGCUUAAACCACGCGCCGAAGUUUCGGAUCGCAAAGAUCACAGAUCUUUGUGAUGGUAGGCGAGCAUUCCGUAGCUGCGAAGCGGCACCGAAAGGGCCGUUGGAGCGAUCGGAAAAGACUCUGUCGGCAUAAGUAGCGAUAACGCGGGCGAGAACCCCGCGCGCCGAAAACCUAAGGUUUCCUCUGUCAAGUUAAUCUGCAGAGGGUAAGUCGGUCCCUAAGGCGAGGCCGAAAGGCGUAGCCGAUGGACACACGGUUAAUAUUCCGUGACCUCCGUAGGAGAUACCGAUGCGGGGACGCAGCUUCGAGCUCGCUGGGGGCAAUGGUUUCCUCCAGUGGGGGAGAAGAGGGCUGGAUAGGCAAAUCCGCCGGCUCGUCUGCCAGGAAAAGCCGCUAAGGGCCGAAGGAGUCCGUACCACAAACCGACACAGGUGGUCGAGAUGAAUAUUCUCAGGCGCUCGGGUGAUGGGUUGUUCAGGAACUAGGCAAAUUGACCCCGUAACUUCGGGAGAAGGGGUGCCCGCUUCACGGUGGGCCGCAGAGAAUAGCGCAGGGCGACUGUUUAACAAAAACACAGGUCUCUGCAAAGUCACAAAAACGACGUAUAGGGGCUGACGCCUGCCCGGUGCCGGAAGGUUAAAGGGAGAGGUUAGCCGCAAGGCGAAGCUUCGAACUGAAGCCCCGGUGAACGGCGGCCGUAACUAUAACGGUCCUAAGGUAGCGAAAUUCCUUGUCGGGUAAGUUCCGACCUGCACGAAUGGCGUAACGAUCCUGCGACUGUCGUAACAACCCGCCCGGCGAACUUGUGGUCCCGGUGAAGACGCCGGGUGCCCGCCACUAGACGGAAAGACCCCGUGCACCUUUACUACACCCUACCAGUGAACUAUGGGGCGGUUUGCGCAGGAUAGGUGGGAGGCUUUGAACCCUGGCUUUCGGGCUGGGGGGAGCCGACGGUGAGAUACCACCCUAAUCGUUCUGUGGUUCUAACCUGCUCCCGUGAUCCGGGAGAGGGACCCUGGUAGGCGGGUAGUUUGACUGGGGCGGUCGCCUCCUAAACGGUAACGGAGGCGUGCGAAGCUCGGCUCAGGCUGUUUGGAAAUCAGCCGCGGAGUGCAAAGGCAUAAGCCGGGUUGACUGCGAGACUUACAAGUCAAGCAGGUGCGAAAGCAGGCCUUAGUGAUCCGGUGGUUCUGUAUGGAAGGGCCAUCGCUCAACGGAUAAAAGGUACGCCGGGGAUAACAGGCUGAUCGGAGCCAAGAGUUCACAUCGACGACCCGGUUUGGCACCUCGAUGUCGGCUCAUCGCAUCCUGGGGGUGAAGAAGCUCCCAAGGGUUGGGCUGUUCGCCCAUUAAAGCGGUACGUGAGCUGGGUUCAGAACGUCGCGAGACAGUUCGGUCCCUAUCUGUGGUGGGCGCAGGAGACUUGAGGGGUGCUGUCCUUAGUACGAGAGGAUCGGGGUGGACGAACCUCUUGUGAUCCAGUUGUCACGCCAGUGGCAUAGCUGGGUAGCGAAGUUCGGUCGGGAUAAGCGCUGAACGCAUAUAAGCGCGAAGCCCUCCCCAAGAUAAGGUCUCCCAAGCCGCAAGGCUAAGAAGGGCCCUGGAAGACUACCAGGUUGAUAGGGCGGAUGUGUAAGCAUGGCAACAUGCUGAGCUAACCGCUACUAAUAGCCCGUUCGGCUUGACC